UAGCUAGUCUAUUCGGUGAUGCAGCUAACGCAUUAAACAUUCCGCCUGGGGAGUACGGUCGCAAGAUUAAAACUCAAAGGAAUAGACGGGGACCCGCACAAGUGGUGGAGCAUGUGGUUUAAUUCGAAGAUACGCGAAGAACCUUACCUAGCCUUGACAUAUAUUAGAACACUUUAGAGAUAGAGUGGUGCCUUCGGGAGCUUUUAUACAGGUGCUGCACGGCUGUCGUCAGCUCGUGUCGUGAGAUGUUGGGUUAAGUCCCGCAACGAGCGCAACCCUCGUCACUAGUUACUAACGGUUCGGCCGAGGACUCUAGUGAGACUGCCUUCGUAAGGAGGAGGAAGGUGAGGACGACGUCAAGUCAUCAUGGCCCUUACGGCUAGGGCAACACACGUGCUACAAUGGCCAGGACAGUGAGAAGCGAUACCGCGAGGUGGAGCAAAUCUAUAAACCUGGUCUCAGUUCGGAUUGUAGUCUGCAACUCGACUACAUGAAGCUGGAAUCACUAGUAAUCGUAGAUCAGCUAUGCUACGGUGAAUACGUUCCCGGGUCUUGUACUCACCGCCCGUCACACCAUGGGAGUUGAUUUCACCCGAAGCGGGGAAGCUAAACUGGCUACCCUCCACGGUGGAAUCAGCGACUGGGGUGAAGUCGUAACAAGGUA
Molecule: ribosomal RNA, 664 nt
Filed under: uncultured Campylobacterota bacterium
Lineage: Bacteria; Pseudomonadati; Campylobacterota
Description: bacterial SSU rRNA
Rfam family: Bacterial small subunit ribosomal RNA
Source: RNAcentral